GAAACGACUGCUAAGACUGGAUAGCAGACAAGAAGGCAUCUUCUUGUUUUUAAAAGACCUAUUAAUAGGUAUGCUUAGGGAGGAGCUUGCGUCACAUUAGUUAGUUGGUGGGGUAAAGGCCUACCAAGACUAUGAUGUGUAGCCGGGCUGAGAGGUUGAACGGCCACAUUGGGACUGAGACACGGCCCAAACUCCUACGGGAGGCAGCAGUAGGGAAUUUUCGGCAAUGGAGGAAACUCUGACCGAGCAACGCCGCGUGAACGAUGAAGUAUUUCGGUACGUAAAGUUCUUUUAUUAGGGAAGAAUAAAUGAUGGAAAAAUCAUUCUGACGGUACCUAAUGAAUAAGCCCCGGCUAACUAUGUGCCAGCAGCCGCGGUAAUACAUAGGGGGCAAGCGUUAUCCGGAAUUAUUGGGCGUAAAGGGUGCGUAGGCUGUUAAAUAAGUUUAUGGUCUAAGUGCAAUGCUCAACAUUGUGAUGCUAUAAAAACUGUUUAGCUAGAGUAAGAUAGAGGCAAGUGGAAUUCCAUGUGUAGUGGUAAAAUGCGUAAAUAUAUGGAGGAACACCAGUAGCGAAGGCGGCUUGCUGGGUCUUUACUGACGCUGAGGCACGAAAGCGUGGGGAGCAAACAGGAUUAGAUACCCUGGUAGUCCACGCCGUAAACGAUGAGUACUAAACGUUGGGUAAAACCAGUGUUGAAGUUAACACAUUAAGUACUCCGCCUGAGUAGUACGUACGCAAGUAUGAAACUUAAAGGAAUUGACGGGACUCCGCACAAGCGGUGGAUCAUGUUGUUUAAUUCGAAGGUACCCGAAAAACCUCACCAGGUCUUGACAUGCUUCUGCAAAGCUGUAGAAACACAGUGGAGGUUAUCAGUUGCACAGGUGGUGCAUGGUUGUCGUCAGCUCGUGUCGUGAGAUGUUGGGUUAAGUCCCGCAACGAGCGCAACCCUUAUUGUUAGUUGCCAGCACGUAAUGGUGGGGACUUUAGCAAGACUGCCAGUGAUAAAUUGGAGGAAGGUGGGGACGACGUCAAAUCAUCAUGCCCCUUAUGACCUGGGCUACAAACGUGAUACAAUGGCUGUUACAAAGGGUAGCUGAAACGCAAGUUUUUGGCGAAUCUCAAAAAAACAGUCUCAGUUCGGAUUGAAGUCUGCAACUCGACUUCAUGAAGUUGGAAUCGCUAGUAAUCGCGAAUCAGCAUGUCGCGGUGAAUACGUUCUCGGGGUUUGUACACACCGCCCGUCA
RNAcentral lists this ribosomal RNA (1246 nucleotides) under Potato witches'-broom phytoplasma potWB-LT1. Its description in RNAcentral is "bacterial SSU rRNA". It matches the Rfam family "Bacterial small subunit ribosomal RNA", at positions 153 to 1399 of the family's 1533-position model. RNAcentral also lists the same sequence under 1 other name. Lineage: Bacteria; Bacillati; Mycoplasmatota; Mollicutes; Acholeplasmatales; Acholeplasmataceae. The record is from RNAcentral.